This 439-nucleotide long non-coding RNA is filed under the name Gossypium raimondii (Peruvian cotton). RNAcentral's name for it is "long non-coding RNA (GRAI_LNC009810)". The record is from RNAcentral. Lineage: Eukaryota; Viridiplantae; Streptophyta; Magnoliopsida; Malvales; Malvaceae.
GGCCAGGAGCUUUGAAAACAAAAAAUAAAGUAGAAAAUAAGAGAAGAAAAAACGAGAGAGAGAAAGAAAAGGUGGAUCAUUUGGUGCUUCUCCAAUUAGUGACGACAUCAGAGUGGAAGUAAGGUGAUUGGCAGAAGAGAACCCCAACGAGAUUUCAAGGAGUUCUCUGUAAAAACAAAUUAGAGGAAAGAGCAAGAGAAAAAAGUUGACUAGAGAACAAGCGUCGGUGACAACAUUGAAGUGCGGCUAUAAUGCAUGUUGAGGGUGGCUAGAGUUAAGAAAGAGAUGUGGAGAAUAAGAAGAAAAGAAAAAAAAUGAAAACGGGAAAGAAUAAAAGAAGAGGGAAAAACGAGAAAAGGAAAGACUAAAAAAAAGGGAAAAAACAGUAAAAAGAAAAAGAAAAUGACAUCAUCAUGAUGUCAUUAUGCCACAUGUCACG